UUUAACAUUGAUAAAUAACGUAUUAGUGGAUAUCUAAAAAAACUAAUCAGACAUAAGUAUGAUACGAAAUGUUUUCUAGAACUUUUAUGUUUGGAAUUAAAACGUGAUGCGUACACGUAUGUUAUCCAACAGGUUUGUUACAACCGUGCCAAAUUUGUAAUUGCGCGUGCCUAUAAGUGGUAUUUUUUUAUAUCAUCCGUACAUUCUGUGUGAAAAGUUGAGCGAGCGGCGCGCUCGCUGCCGGCACCAUUGCGUCCCCGUGGAGCACGGCCGCCGGCGCGCCCGACACCAAUGGCUCGGGCGGCGCCGACGCCAAGCACCUCGACGUUGGGGAUGCCAGCGACGAUGAAAAGGACAUGUCGGCCGCGGACGCGAGGGAGUAUGGAGUCC
This 390-nucleotide unclassified non-coding RNA is filed under the name Manduca sexta (tobacco hornworm). Its description in RNAcentral is "uncharacterized LOC119190217, transcript variant X1". The record is from RNAcentral. Lineage: Eukaryota; Metazoa; Arthropoda; Insecta; Lepidoptera; Sphingidae.